RNAcentral lists this unclassified non-coding RNA (2406 nucleotides) under Haliotis rufescens (red abalone). Its description in RNAcentral is "uncharacterized LOC124141126, transcript variant X2". The record is from RNAcentral. Lineage: Eukaryota; Metazoa; Mollusca; Gastropoda; Lepetellida; Haliotidae.
GGGAGACAACUCGUGAUGCUGUUGCAGUACACUGCGGCAAUCCGGAGAAGGUAGGAUAGGCUUAAGGGUUGUUAAACCCACUGGACGUGGGAACAUUGCACCUACCUCUGUCAUUUUUCUUCAGUAGGAUGCCGCCGACAGGGACGUCACUGACGAUGGCGAGGUUUAGUUUCAUCAUCGUCAUCCUCAUGUGUUUCCACGUACAUGAAGCACCUGCUGCUGUGCUUACCAAUGUUGACACCCGCUGUAACGUUGACAACGGUAUCGUGGCUGACAUGAGCAACUGUGGCAACUUCAUCGUGUGCCUUCAGGGUAGAGCUCGGCGGGUGAUCACGUGCUCUAAGGGACUACUCUACGACACCAAACUGCGCAUGUGCAAUCACAAAUACAAAGUGGACUGCGGAAGAAGACCGCCAAGCGCUGACGCCAAGGUCAACUGCUUCCUGAGCGACAUCAAGGUGACCAUCAAGGUGGAGAACCAGGUCAAGCCGCCAUACUUCACGUUCCGGACCACCGUGGAAGCCCCGAGACAACCGCUAGAGAACUUCCUGCUGAUGGCCGCCGGCAGAGACAGCCGGUUCAGGUUCGAAUCCAAGAUGAUCGACGAUUUCGGGAUGUUCGUGACAGCAAUCAACGGCGUGAGAGCGGAUCCCCUCGACGUCACCGCGUGGCUGCCAUUUGACAGACUCAACCGACAGCUUACAAUCAACAUCAGGGACUAUGUUCCCCAGGACAUGGAGACUAUCGUGUUCCGUUUCUACUCCUUCGCAGAGCCGGAUGACUGUAGCGGGUCUGGAUGCCGCACCCCUCGGGCCAGGCUAGUAGGCAACGGGUAGCCCCACCCUGUCCACAACAACAGUGUAAUGUGCACAUUGAAACUGGGAUUGCUUACGAAUGUGUAUAUUUACAAAACCAUUGGAACGUGUGACAGUAAGCUAGCGUUAUAUGCUCUGCAGUCAUAGUAUCUGUGCCAGCACAAAUUGCCGUUUUACUGGCUGGGGUUAUAUGAUUGAGGUUGGAUCACGUGGUAACGAUUUAAUCAGGUCACGUGGUAGUGGUUGGAUCAUGACGUACGGAUGGACCAUUUAUGCUCAGCUGGGUUACGUGGAAGCGCUUGGGUCACGUGACAGAGGUUGAAAAUAGGGUUUGGAUCACAUGAUGGGGGUAUGAUAACAGGGUUGGGUCACAUGACAUGUAGGAUGACAGGUUUUGGGUCACAUGGUAGAGGAUUGAUAACAGGGUUUGGGUCACAUGAUGGGGGUUGGAUAACAGGUUUGGGUCACAUCACAUGUUGGAUAACAGGGUUUGGAUCACAUGGAAGAGGAUGGAUAACAGGGUUUGGGUGACAUGAUGGGGGUUGGAUAACAGGUUUUGGGUCCCAUGAUGGAGGUUGGAUAACAGGGUUUGGGUCACAUUUAAGAGGGUGGAUAACAGGGUUUGGUGACAUGAUGUGGGUUGGAUAACAGGGAUUGGGUCACAUGAUGGGGUUUUGAUAACAGGGUUUGGGUCAUAUGGAAGAGGAUGGAUAACAGGGUUUGGAUCACGUGGCAGAUAUUGGAUAACCGGUUUUGGGUCCCUCUGUUGGGGUUAGAUAACAGGGUUUGGGUCACAUGGCAGAAAUUGGAUAUCAGGGUUUUGAUCACUCUGUCGGAGGUGGAUAUCAAAGAUUUCAGGGUUACGGUCGCGUGGUAGGGGUUGGGUCACACAUGGGUAUGGGCUCGAUGGCUGGUUAGCUUUAAUUCUGGCUUGAACAAUGUAGUGAAUUGUCCGUCCUUGAACCUAACCAGGCAUUAAUAGUUUAUUAUUUUCUGGAUAAUGCAAUAAAUAACCGAUAUUUUUAAUUUCUUAACACUGACUCAGUUUCCUAAUGUGCGAGACUCAUGGGUCAGUGCACUUGCGUUCCAGGGUAACUGGGGGUUGUUUGGUGGGUACCAGGAAGUACAAUUACUGACGCUCACUGUCUGUAAAGUUUCAUGUCCUUUGGAGUCUUUCGUAACUGUAUUCAGAGUGUUGUACAUGUAAAUGCUUAUACAGAUUAGUAGUAGCAGUAGUAGUAUAGUAGUAGUAGUAGUAGUAGUAGUAGUAGUAGUACGUAGUCGUAGAUAGACAAUGAAGUACUCCUCACAAAAUCUAUGGUGUACACUACUAGUACUACUACUACUACUACUACUAAUAAUAAUAUUACUACUACUACUUCUACUACUACUACUACUACUACUAUCAUCAGAUCUGCUUACAUUUAACUAACAAAUAUACACUAAAUAACAUUGAUUAAACAUAAUUUUCAUGUAAAGAUGUCUCAUGUUGUAUUUAGGGACAGGGAAAAUUGAACGAAAUAAAGGGAUACUCCUGCAUCUGGUCUCAGCCAUCUUCUCAAGCCUGGUGCGUGAUGGCGAUGUUGCAGAU